Molecule: unclassified non-coding RNA, 86 nt
Filed under: Pseudomonas fragi
Lineage: Bacteria; Pseudomonadati; Pseudomonadota; Gammaproteobacteria; Pseudomonadales; Pseudomonadaceae
Source: RNAcentral
CGUGGGAGCGGGCUUGCUCGCGAUGCCGGCGAUGCGGUUUUCAGCUCAACCGCGUCGCCGGCAUCGCGAGCAAGCCCGCUCCCACA